CUCUGAUUCAGCGGCGGACGGGUGAGUAAUGCCUAGGAAUCUGCCUAUUAGUGGGGGACAACGUUUCGAAAGGAACGCUAAUACCGCAUACGUCCUACGGGAGAAAGCAGGGGACCUUCGGGCCUUGCGCUAUCAGAUGAGCCUAGGUCGGAUUAGCUAGUUGGUGAGGUAACGGCUCACCAAGGCGACGAUCCGUAACUGGUCUGAGAGGAUGAUCAGUCAUACUGGAACUGAGACACGGUCCAGACUCCUACGGGAGGCAGCAGUGGGGAAUAUUGGACAAUGGGCGAAAGCCUGAUCCAGCCAUGCCGCGUGUGUGAAGAAGGUCUUCGGAUUGUAAAGCACUUUAAGUUGGGAGGAAGGGCAUUAACCUAAUACGUUAGUGUUUUGACGUUACCGACAGAAUAAGCACCGGCUAACUUCGUGCCAGCAGCCGCGGUAAUACGAAGGGUGCAAGCGUUAAUCGGAAUUACUGGGCGUAAAGCGCGCGUAGGUGGUUUGUUAAGUUGAAUGUGAAAGCCCCGGGCUCAACCUGGGAACUGCAUCCAAAACUGGCAAGCUAGAGUAUGGCAGAGGGUGGUGGAAUUUCCUGUGUAGCGG
This 600-nucleotide ribosomal RNA is filed under the name uncultured bacterium. RNAcentral's name for it is "bacterial SSU rRNA". It matches the Rfam family "Bacterial small subunit ribosomal RNA", at positions 85 to 681 of the family's 1533-position model. The record is from RNAcentral.